This is a non-coding RNA of Cinara cedri, 385 nucleotides long. Lineage: Eukaryota; Metazoa; Arthropoda; Insecta; Hemiptera; Aphididae. The record is from the annotation of a GenBank genome assembly.
UAAAUAGAAUGCACCAUAUGCGUAAAGAUCAAUAUUUACAUAAUUUUCUUAUUACAGCUUGAUAAUAAUAUGUUUUACUGUUGUAUUUUGUUUGAUAUUUAUUUUGGCAUUGCUCAUUAAUUAGUAAAUGUCUAUAGCUAAGUAGUAUACUAAUAGGAUUCUGUCCAUAGGUUCCUGAUCAAUUUCAUUAACAGUAUCAAAAUGUAAUAAAUUUGGACUUUUUUAAGUCUGUAGAGAAAAAUGAAAUGUAAAUUAUACUUAAAUGAAAUUUAAGUAAAUAAUUAUAAUAAUAUUUAUAAUAUAUAAAAUAAUUAAAAUACACAAAGGCACGACAUUAGAACAUAGAAACUAAGUAGAAGAACAAAACCUAGUAUAAAACACAAUG